This 388-nucleotide ribosomal RNA is filed under the name uncultured bacterium. RNAcentral's name for it is "bacterial SSU rRNA". It matches the Rfam family "Bacterial small subunit ribosomal RNA", at positions 28 to 417 of the family's 1533-position model. The record is from RNAcentral.
GACGAACGCUGGCGGCGUGCUUAACACAUGCAAGUCGAGCGGUAAGGCCCUUUCGGGGGUACACGAGCGGCGAACGGGUGAGUAACACGUGGGUGACCUGCCCUCAGCUCUGGGAUAAGCCUGGGAAACCGGGUCUAAUACUGGAUAUGACUCCACGACGCAUGUUGUGGGGUGGAAAGCCUUGUGCGGCUGAGGAUGGGCCCGNGGCCUAUCAGCUUGUUGGUGGGGUNAUGGCCUACCAAGGCGACGACGGGUAGCCGGCCUGAGAGGGCGACCGGCCACACUGGGACUGAGACACGGCCCAGACUCCUACGGGAGGCAGCAGUGGGGAAUCUUGCGCAAUGGGCGAAAGCCUGACGCAGCGACGCCGCGUGAGGGAUGACGGCCU